Molecule: long non-coding RNA, 1145 nt
Organism: Haliotis rubra (blacklip abalone)
Lineage: Eukaryota; Metazoa; Mollusca; Gastropoda; Lepetellida; Haliotidae
Exons: 4
Source: RefSeq, a predicted model, not a curated record
ACCCUGAAUUUCCUAGUCAGAGUAGUGUGAUGGUCAUGGUCCAGGAAGUAGUCUGCAGGUCCUAAUCCAGGAAGUAGGCUGAAGGUCCUUAUCCAGGAAGUAGACUGAAGGUCCUAAUCCAGUAAAUUGGCUGCAGCUCCUGAUCCAGGAAGUAGUCUGAAGGUCCUUAUCCAGCAAUUAGGCUGAAGAUCCUGAUCCAGGAAGUAGUCUGAAGGUUCUGAUCCAGUAAGUAGGUUGAAGGUCCUGAUCCAGGAAGUAGGCUGAAGGUUCUGAUCCAGUAAGUAGGCUGAAGGUUCUGAUCCAGGAAGUAGGCUGAAGGUCCUGAUCCAGGAAGUAGGCUGAAGGUCCUGAUCCAGGAAGUAGGCUGAAGGUUCUGAUCCAGUAAGUAGGCUGAAGGUUCUGAUCCAGGAAGUAGGCUGAAGCUCCUGAUCCAGGAAGUAGUCUGAAGGUCCUGAUCCAGGAAGUAGGCUGAAGGUCCUGAUCCAGGAAGUAGGCUGAAGGUCCUGAUCCAGGAAGUAGUCUGAAGGUCCUUAUCCAGCAAUUAGGCUAAAAGGUCCUGAUCCAGGAAGUAGUCUGAAGGUCCUUAUCCAGCAAUUAGGCUGAAGAUCCUGAUCCAGGAAGUAGUCUGAAGGUCCUGAUCCAGUAAGUAGGUUGAAGGUCCUGAUCCAGGAAGUAGGCUGAAGGUUCUGAUCCAGUAAGUAGGCUGAAGGUUCUGAUCCAGGAAGUAGGCUGAAGGUCCUGAUCCAGGAAGUAGGCUGAAGGUCCUGAUCCAGGAAGUAGUCUGAAGGUCCUGAUCCAGGAAGUAGUCUGAAGGUCCUGAUCCAGGAAGUAGGCUGAAGGUCCUGAUCUAGGAAGUAGGCUGAAGGUUCUGAUCCAGGAAGUAGGCUGAAGAUCCUGAUCCAGGAAGUAGGCUGAAGAUCCUGAUCCAGGAAGUAGACUGAAGGUCCUGAUCCAGGAAGUAGUCUGAAGCUCCUGAUCCAGGAAGUAGGCUGAAGAUCCUGAUCCAGGAAGUAGGCUGAAGCUCCUGAUCCAGGAAGUAGUCUGAAGGUUCUGAUCCAGUAAGUAGGCUGAAGGUCCUGAUCCAGGAAGUAGGCUGAAGCUCCUGAUCCAGGAAGUAGUCUGAAGGUCCUGAUCCAGGAAGUAGG